UACGUAGGUGGCAAGCGUUGUCCGGAAUUAUUGGGCGUAAAGCGCGCGCAGGCGGGAUGGGAAGUCUGUAGUGAAACUGCGGGGCUCAACCCCGUAUUGGCGAUGGAAACUCCCAUUCUUGAGUGCAGGAGAGGAAAGUGGAAUUCCCAGUGUAGCGGUGAAAUGCGUAGAUAUUGGGAGGAACACCAGUGGCGAAGGCGACUUUCUGGCCUGUGUCUGACGCUGAGGCGCGAAAGCCAGGGGAG
This 245-nucleotide ribosomal RNA is filed under the name uncultured bacterium. RNAcentral describes it as "partial 16S ribosomal RNA". It matches the Rfam family "Bacterial small subunit ribosomal RNA", at positions 524 to 768 of the family's 1533-position model. The record is from RNAcentral.